RNAcentral lists this ribosomal RNA (446 nucleotides) under uncultured bacterium. Its description in RNAcentral is "partial 16S ribosomal RNA". It matches the Rfam family "Bacterial small subunit ribosomal RNA", at positions 338 to 795 of the family's 1533-position model. The record is from RNAcentral.
CCUACGGGAGGCUGCAGUAGGGAAUUUUCGGCAAUGGGGGGAACCCUGACCGAGCAACGCCGCGUGAACGAAGAAGUUAUUCGUAAUGUAAAGUUCUUUUAACAGGGAAGUAAGAGAAAUUUGACGGUACCUGAAGAAUAAGCUCCGGCUAACUACGUGCCAGCAGCCGCGGUAAUACGUAGGGAGCGAGCGUUAUCCGGAAUUAUUGGGCGAAAAGGGUGCGUAGAUGGCAUAGUAAGUCUUUUGUAAAAAUGCUGGGCUCAACCCAGUAGGGCAAAAGAUACUGCAAAGCUAGAGUAUGACAGAGGCAAGUGGAACUACAUGUGUAGCGGUAAAAUGCGUAAAUAUAUGUAAGAACACCAGUGGCGAAGGCAGCUUGCUGGGUCGAUACUGACAUUGAGGCACGAAAGUGUGGGGAGCAAAAAGGAUUAGAUACCCGGGUAGUC